UCGAUACGCGCAUCGCGGAAACGCCCCCUCCCCUACUCGACACAAGCUUCGAAGCUUCCUUAGGGAACGUCACAUCACUAAGUGCAUCAAGGUCCAGUGAAUGGCUCUGGAGCAGAAGAAAGGAGACAUCUCUACUACAAAUCACACCCAAAGUAGCAGCAUGAUUAGAUACUGUAGCACUGCAGGCCCUCCAUGCAGCAAUACAUGUGACCUUUACAUGAUGAACCAUGAGGAGCUACAGCUUUGACAUAUCGUUUUGUCUUGGGAGGCUUAGCUAAGAGGCUCAACUUUCCUCAGUGUGGAGAGUUCUGAGGCCUUUUGAAAGGCCACUCUCCAUUUUCAGAACAUUUAACAAGCACCUCCGACAGACUGUAUUUGGUUGGUCCCCAUGAAUCAUAUCUGCUCACCCACAUCAUCCUCGUUUAUUUGUUCUAAUGUGUUCUCAGCUUUUAGAAAAAGAGAACUUUUUUUUUUAUCUUUGUGCUGAGCUCAAAUUUUUUUUUUGUCAAUAUCUCUUUCUAGCACACGUGUUCUAAGGUCUGUUUGGAAACUAUGUGCCUAAUGUUUGCUUUGAUUUAAUUCAAAAUUUACAUGAAACUUUGAAGGUGAAAUGCUAGUGUUGGUUACUACUGUAGGAAGCCAUGGGUGAGAGGCACUUAGCUUAGUUUUGCACAAAGACUGGACUUGUUAAACGUUGGAGAAAGAUUGUGGUCACAGUUAAAAAUCAGGAGACUUUAACUGGUGGUACAUGACAGGUCCAAUGCAUAACAUGACUUUCUACCACGCAGUCACCACACCCUCACUUCCCACUUGUGACUUAAAGGGCACACCACUUCCUGCAUCAGUGGAUGUCAGCACUAAAUUGUAAGGCACAGAAUCAUCCAAAAUUAACAAAAAAAAAUCCAAACAUGACAUCUGAAUUCCCCCGCCCCCCAUUGUUUUCUCUUAUUUUUCUGCAAGGUUUAUAUGCUUGAGUGGAAACUGUAUGUCUUGAAGGCUAGAGCUUCCAACUAGAGUGGCUUUAUAAAACAUCCCAUGUUUUCAGCUGCUUUGCUGAUUAAAAAUGUAGACAAUAAGCACAAAACCUCCAAGCUCAACUUAUUCAUUUAUUUUCAUACCAAACCAAGGUGAACCACAUCCACUGGCUGCCUGAAAAGUAGUGAAAAACAAGCUGAACACACCAUGAAAUUUUUAGGAGCAAAUGCUGACUGUAAUAUUAAUAAUGUGACUUUAAUGACCAAAGUACUUUAAUGGAAUAAACCAGGAAAACACUCCUUUAUAGUCAUUAUAUUCGGAAGUGUCAUCAGGACGUUCUUCUGUUCGGGGUCUUUCUGCUGGAUACAACAACCAAGUUGUUUAUUUUGAGGGAGAGAAAAACACAUUUGGAAACCUUCAGCUCCCAAAAGAAAAAGACAUUCACUUUGAAGACGAGCAGUGAUGUCGGCAUGUGUAACAAAGCACCAGCAUGACUUCGAGGGGGGAAAAAAAGCAAAUAGA
Monopterus albus (swamp eel) is the source of this 1497-nucleotide long non-coding RNA. RefSeq lists it as uncharacterized. The transcript has 3 exons. Lineage: Eukaryota; Metazoa; Chordata; Actinopteri; Synbranchiformes; Synbranchidae. The record is from RefSeq and is a predicted model, not a curated record.